Molecule: ribosomal RNA, 245 nt
Filed under: uncultured bacterium
Lineage: Bacteria
Description: partial small subunit ribosomal RNA
Rfam family: Bacterial small subunit ribosomal RNA
Source: RNAcentral
AGAAUCAACGCUGGCGGCGUGCCUAACACAUGCAAGUCGCACGAGAAAGGGGCUUCGGCCCUGAGUAAAGUGGCGCACGGGUGAGUAACACGUGAAUAAUCUACCUCCGAGUGGGGAAUAACUGAGAGAAAUCUUGGCUAAUACCGCAUAAUACCCACGGGUCAAAGCAGCAAUGCGCUUGGAGAGGAGUUCGCGGCAGAUUAGCUAGUUGGCGGGGUAAUGGCCCACCAAGGCGAUGAUCUGUA